GCACUGCUACUUGGGCGGAGUGAUUAUUACUCCAACGAAGCGAACUCUCUGCUCCUCUCCAAAAGGCUUCUCAGGUGCUGCGAGCAAAUCACUCCGCCCAAGUAGCAGAAGUAGCAGUGCUUCGCCUGCUGUGGAGAAUAGUUCCAAGCAUGUAUACGGUUAGAAGAUGGCUGGGUGUCAUGUGACCUUGGUAUUUGUCCAUGCUGUGACUAUAUAAACAGGAACAUGGAAAUUGGAAAUUGUUG
This is a long non-coding RNA of Etheostoma spectabile (orangethroat darter), 245 nucleotides long. RefSeq lists it as uncharacterized. NCBI's taxonomy places the organism in Eukaryota, Metazoa, Chordata, Actinopteri, Perciformes, Percidae. The record is from RefSeq and is a predicted model, not a curated record. The transcript is spliced from 3 exons.